AUGGGUGCUGAACUAACUGUUACCGGGUGGUUCUUGUCGCCAAUCAUACGGGAGAUGCAGGACACCGCUUUGGCCUACAUAAAGGGGCAAUUCAGUUGGAAGAAAGAUCAGGAGAAGGACCUUGAACGCCUUGACAUCACCCUGACAGAGAUUCUGACCAUUGUGGAUGUCAUCGAGAAGAGGGAGAUAAAGGAUGGGAACCAGAGGAGGCUGCUAAGCAUACUUAAAGACGCCAUUUACGGCGCUGUUGAUGUGCUGGACGGCUUCCAGUACAUGGUCCUCAAGUCCAAGGUUGAUAGCCAGUCUGCGGUGAGUCGUGUCACCUCAACCUGUAUUUACUUGGGUAAACGUUUGAUCGGUGCAGACGAAAUCCGGGGGAAGCUAGCAGAUAUUUUGGAGAAAUUAGACGUUGUCAAGACAACAGCAGAUACCCUAUUGAAGGUGGUUAAUUUUGACAAUGCUACUGCAAAGUUAUUGCCAGUAACACGGCUGCGUGUAACUUCCCCUUUGAAGGAAAAUCACCAUAUAUAUGGUCGAAGAGAUGAGCUUCAUAAGCUGAGAGAUAUGUUGUUUGAGAUAAGCGACAGUAAUGCACCCGGACCCAGUAAUGCACCUGUACCCAGUGGCUCAAGCAUUGAUGUUAUAUCCAUUAUAGGUGUUGGUGGGGUUGGCAAGACUAGCCUUGCACGGUUGGCGUUCGGAGAUGAACAAAUACGCAUGAACUUCGGUCUCAGGAUGUGGGUUUCUGUAUCUGAUACUUAUGAUGAGAUUAGAUUGACAAGGGACAUUUUGGAGUCUUUAACUGAUGCAAAUUAUCACACUGUUGCUGAAUUUGAUGAAUUGCAGAAUGCUCUUCGUGGAAAGAUAGCUGGAAAGAAAUUUCUCCUCAUACUAGAUGAUGUUUGGUAUGACGAGGACAAAACAGAAUGGGAGAAUAAAUUACUCUGGAGCAAAGUCUUCUCUUCUUUAAAUACUGGACUGGAAGGGUCGAAGAUUUUGGUGACAGCUCGAGCUGACAAAGCUUGCAGUAUCCUACAUGCUAGGACACCCCCUUUACGUUUGGGAGGAUUGGACAGAGAUGAUUACUGGUUGCUAUUCAGAAACCAUGCUUUUGGUGAGAAAUACCCAGGACAAUUUCCAGAACUCAAGGAAGUAGGAAUACAAAUUUGUUGCAGAUUGAAUGGUUUGCCUCUAGCAGCAAAGAUAAUCGGUCGCCUAUUGAAUGCUGAUUUGGAUGUCAGCCACUGGAAGAAAGUUCUGGAGAGUGAUAUAUCUGAUGAUGUUAUGAAGGUUCUCAGGUUGAGUUACCAGCACUUACCUGUCCAAUUGAAGCUAUGCUUUAGCUUCUGCAGCCUUUUCCCAAAGGACUGGCGUUUUGAACCUCAAAGACUCACUGAAAUGUGGAUUGCACAGGGUUUUGUGCAGAGGGAGGAUUCAUAUGACACUGAUCCAAAUAUUGAGGAUGUGGCAAAGGGCUACUUCAAUGAACUUGUGCAAAGAUCAUUCUUUGAGCGGUCAUUGUUGGACCUCCCAACAGAGUAUGUCAUGCAUGAUUUGAUCAAUGACUUGGCUCGGAAUGUCUCGAAGGAUGAGUAUGUCAGGGUUGAAAAUGAUAAACAAAAGAAGAUCCCACCAAACAUUCGUCAUCUAUCAAUAUCAGCAAAUUUGUUAGGCGGCAUGAAGAAAACAGAGUUGAGAAAUUUGCGUACCUUGAUUGUUUGGAAGAAAGCAUGGUCUUGCUUAAAAUUGUCCCUUCCAGAUGAUGUAUUCAAGAAGUCCAAAAGCAUCCGUGUGCUGGACUUGAACGGUUGUUGCCUGGAUAGGCUGCCGACAUCAGUGGAAGUUCUUAAACAUCUGCGUUAUUUCGCUUUUCGGGUUCCUCAGAGGCCGUGGCAAACAUCAUUGAUUCGGCUUUACCACCUGGAGGUCUUGGUCACAAGAGGGCACUCCUGCCGGGAAAGUGAAUGUGUUAACCUUCCUGCAAACAUGAAGAGGAACCUGCUCAAAUUAAGAAAAGCUUUCCUUCUCAAUGUUGGCGGCGCCACGAUAUCUGGUUUCGGAGGACAAACUCUUCUCCGUGGCCACGGGGAGUUCCAUGUCAGGAAGGAGAGCGGCUACAGACUAGGUGAGUUGAAGGAGAUGAAAAAUAUCAGUGGACAGUUAAAAAUUAGAUCUCUCGAGAAUGUUGAACAUCAGCAAGAGGCAGUUAAUGCCUGCCUAGAUUGCAAAGAGCAUAUCGAAUAUUUGGAACUUGAAUGGAGCAUCCAUGCAAGGGCUUUAACUUGUGAUAUUGAUAAUGAUGUGCUCAGUGCCCUUAGACCUCACCCUAAUCUUGAUCGGUUGAAGAUCAUUGGAUAUGGGGGAACUAGGUCACCCAGUUGGUUUGAGGCAAAUUGGCUGACUGCAUUGAGUUCUUUAGCUCUUGAGAACUGCAUGGGUUGGGUACAGUUGCCCCCUUUUGGUCAGCUUCCUCUGCUCAAGUAUCUCGAACUAAGAGGCAUGCAUGCUGUCAGGCAGAUUGGUCAAGAAUUCUAUGGGAAUGGUGACAUAAAGGGCUUCCCAAUUUUGGAAGACAUGAUAUUUGAUGGCAUGCUCAACUGGGAUGGCUGGUCUGGAACCGAAGAUGGUUCUUUGUUUCCAUGUCUUGAAAGGCUACUCGUAUCACGGUGUCCAAAGCUUCGAGAAAUACCAACCUUUAGUGCAACACCAAGAGUUGAAGUCGAAAUAUCUCCUGAUUCCCCGCCAGCUUCUUGUUUAAUCGAGUCACUAAUAGCAACUGCAUCACGGUUGAUCUUUCUGGUUAGCUCCUACAGCUUCUUGAGUGACCUAACCACUGAGCAACUAAACCAUGUUGCUGAGUUGAACCUGCAGAACUGUAGAGAUCCCAUGCCAGCUGGUGGAUUUCACAGACUUAGCUCCCUUCAGGUGUUCAGGAUCAGCAACUGUUCAACGUUACUGUCAUCAGUCAGUACAGAAGCAGUUGACACAUAUUUACUUCCUCCAUCUCUUUGCCAUAUUGAAAUAGCUCAAAGCAAUGUGCAUUGCAGCUUAUUACCAAGGUAUUUGCAAGGCCUAACUUGCCUCUCGACGUUGGUGCUCAAUAGCUGCCAUUUGAUGACAUCAUUGUCAUUUGCUUCUGAAUCCCCCCACCUUGUUGCUCUGGAAAGUGUAACCAUUAAAGAUUGCAAUGAGCUAGCUUCAUUGGAUGGAUUUAGAAAUCUUAGUGCUCUCCGGAAGUUAGUCGUUGCAGAUUGUUACAAUUUCUGCUCCUUGCCAGCUGACUUGAAUAUAGUGGGGUCUCUUGAGAAAUUAGUCAUAUGUGGGUGCCCAAUGAUGAGGUUCCUCCCCGAAAACGGCCUGCCAGCUUCCGUGCAGACUGUUUUGUUAUCAAUGUGCCAUCCAGAGCUCGAUACCCAGCUUCAAAUGAAGGAAGGUGCUGAAUGGAACAAGAUUGUUCGUAUCCCCGAGAAGAAAUUAGAGGUAGAGCUGAUUGACUUAUUGACUAUAUUUCCGGCCAAUUCUUCCUGA
This 3528-nucleotide ribosomal RNA is filed under the name Triticum aestivum (bread wheat). RNAcentral describes it as "partial small subunit ribosomal RNA". The record is from RNAcentral. Lineage: Eukaryota; Viridiplantae; Streptophyta; Magnoliopsida; Poales; Poaceae.